Camelina sativa (false flax) is the source of this 806-nucleotide non-coding RNA. The record is from RefSeq and is a predicted model, not a curated record. NCBI's taxonomy places the organism in Eukaryota, Viridiplantae, Streptophyta, Magnoliopsida, Brassicales, Brassicaceae.
UUCGUAUGUUAUAUGGUCACGGACUCACGGCGGAGGGAGUCCAGGACUGCCAGGUGGGCAGAUUACACUACUUAGAAGUUGCUUCCCAGACAAUGGCUGAACAAAUAAGUUUUUUUGUUUUUUCUAUUGAUUCAUUUAGAGACAAUGCUUGAAGUAGUAAAUCUUCUUUUUCUAUUGAUCACAGCACCGUAUGCUGGUUACCCUUGAGUCUUGAGACUUAGGGCUAAUGUCACAACUCGACUCGCGAAGCAGAAACGUUCACCUCCGUCAUCUUUUGCUCUCUGAUCUGACUCGCGAAUCUUUCGCCACCGUCACAUCACAUCCGACUCGGAGGCUCCGCCAUCUUCACGCUACCUUCACGCCACCAUAACAAUAGAUUCAGAGGUAGAGGAAGAUGGUAACAAAGAUGGUUCAAAGAGAAUAGAGAGUGGAGUAGUACUGAGCUCUUUCGUCAUAUGCUCUAAGGUUUUUGCAGAACAAUAGGGAUGAAUGAGGAAGAAACGGAAAUUGAAAAAUAGUCAAAAGACUAAAGAUCCAAUGAACUUGAAACGGAAAUGUGUAAAGACUUGUGUUGUGUGUAUGUUUGGCAAACAAAUUACUUCUCAAGUCUUUGUUGAUGCAUUGCUUCUCAAGUCGACAAGUCUUUGUUGCAAGUUUUCUCAAGUCUUUGUUGCAGGUUUGUGUAAAACCCGUUUGUCAAAAGAAUUUUUGUUUGAUAAAAAGGAAAAAUUUAAAAAGGUCCAUGUAUAUUUUUUUGACAAUCGGUUCAUGUAUAUUUAAACGGGUCUAUGUAUAGCUUAAAUGGG